UGCCCCAUGGCUGAGUUGGUUACAGCGUCCGACUGUUAGCAAUAUCAGGAUCAUCGGAAGGUCGAGAGUUCGAGCCUCUCUGGGGCAG
Molecule: non-coding RNA, 88 nt
Organism: Lentinula edodes (shiitake mushroom)
Lineage: Eukaryota; Fungi; Basidiomycota; Agaricomycetes; Agaricales; Omphalotaceae
Source: the annotation of a RefSeq genome assembly